Cyanistes caeruleus (blue tit) is the source of this 5483-nucleotide non-coding RNA. NCBI's taxonomy places the organism in Eukaryota, Metazoa, Chordata, Aves, Passeriformes, Paridae. The record is from RefSeq and is a predicted model, not a curated record.
AUGGGGGCCUGAGGGUGCGGUGUGUGCCGGCUAGCAACUUUCGGAGUCUCAGAGUAAUUUAGGUUGGAAAAGGUAUUCGAGAUCACCCAGUCCAAUUUACGACCCAGCGCUGCUGUGUCAGCCAGGCCAUGACGCCGGGUGCUGUGUGCAGCUUUUCCUUGAGCAUGGCCAGGGCCGGUGACUCCGCCGCCUUCUUGGACAGCCCAUUCCAAUGUUUAGCCAUUCUUUCAGUGUAACAAUUACUCCUAAUGUCCGGCUUAAAUGUCAAUUGAUGCAGUAGAAGGCCAUCAUAUCUUCCCAUCAUAUCUCUUAUUCCCUGGGAGCAGAGCCUGACACCAGAUUGGCUCCAAAGUCCUGCCAGGGAGUUGUAGAGAGCAAUAAGGUUCCCCUUUGAAUCUCUUUUUCUCCAGAAUAAACACCCCCAGCUCCCUCAGCUGCUCCUCAUCAGACUUGAGCUUCUUUCAGAAGAAGGACAUGCAUCAAGUUGUACAGCAAUCCUUGCUGCCAUAAAGGAAUAUGAAAUCUCUUCCAACAGUAAGCCUUGUAGUUAAGCCACAGCAAAAUGUUUAAACUGGGACAGAAUGAUGAGGGUCAUAAUCUUCAAGAAUUGAAAAAUCCUUCCAAAGUUCCCAAUAGUGCCUUGGAUUAAUGUGGUAAAGAGAACACCACAAAAAUGCAAAGUCUGUGCAGAGCAAAGGACUUGUUUAUCUGGAAGAUUCUGUUGCACCUUCUCCUUUCAGCUUUCACAGGUGAGGCAGACAACACAAGUAUUUAGGAGCAGCCUGAAUUUGAUUCAGCAAGAACAUCUUGCACAGAAGGAGCAACAGGAAGGGAGGCACAGGGAAAAGAUGAAGGGACAAGACUGACAUCACUAGCACUGAAAUGUGUUUGAAGGACAGGAGGUUCCCAUCUUCCAAAUAUUUUGUGAGAAGAUGUACUUUUGAGUGACAAUUUGACAGGUUGAAAAGUGUAUCUCAAUAUGAUAAUGAGACUUUUGAGAAGGGAGUUGCUGACCCCAAACCACAACACGACCCAGUUGUGGACAAGCAAGAGGGGAAUGAGAAAAGGGCAAGUGUUAUGAAGAUGGAUAAUUGGGAUUAUGGCUUUGAGUAGGGAUUUCUUGGUUGAUCCCAGCUUCUGGGAUUGGCUGUGCAUGGAAGGAAAAAUUAAAUGCCUUUCUCAUGGACAUGAACCAGAUCUUCAGAUUGCUUUCCUUUUUAUGCCGUAGUUUUACAUCCUCAGAUUCAUUUCUAAAAUCAAUUAAUUCCAUAAGUAAUCAUUUUUUCAUGAACUACAUGUAAAUUUCACACUCAGCUUGCUAACUAGAUUUUCCUCUCAUCUGGGAAAUCAAUUUUUAGGAGAGUUAUUUUAUUUACAUUGAAUAAUUGGUUGUAUUUGGUACACAGAUAGCUGGUAAUUAAUAACUGUAUUGAUACUGGAUAUUCACUGCCAUUUGUUCUAAUGAGUUGUUAGACCAUUAAGCUCCAUGAUAUUUUCUUGAUGUGACCAAAUUUGAACACACUGAAAAAAAUUAAAAGGUGUGUGAUACUUUUAUGACCUGUAAAUUUAUAUAUUUGGUAGGGAUGCAUUUUCAGAAGGCAUAUUUAAUUUCAUUACUUAAUCUGUAUCCAAACAUCGUGCUCCUUAUUUAGUAUCCACAACCAAUUUGUAGCAAGCAUGGCACUGGUAGUGCACACAAAUGAAGUACUCAAAUAUCCACAUUAAUUGCAUUUUAUAAUUACAAAUUAAAUGUACUUGUCAUUUUAAAAGCCACAUUUUCAUGGUAAUCUCCAGUCCUCCCACUAAAAAAUUCUGACUUCUCACAGGUUCUUCCAUAGGAAAAAUGGUGACAAGAGGUCAAAAAUGGUGUUGCUGGACUUUCAUCAGUCCAGAAGUAUUUAUAUUCACAAAGUCAAUGCUUGAUGAAACAACAAAAGAGAUUAUUGGCUACUUAUCAGAAUUUGUAACAUACUGCUGGGUUUUUAUGUUGAAAUAAUAUAUAAAGUCUUUUUAUCUGCAGAAGAAAAUACAAGGCAGCACAACCUUGUGACCAAUCCUGAUGUCCUUACAUCAAAUUUGUGAGCGUUGCUAUUGUGGCCAACACUGGAUUCAGUGUCGAAUUUUUCUGAUGGCAAUUUACUGUUCCCCAUUGAGCAAAUAUUCAAAUAAUCUGAUUUAUUUCCUUUUGGUCAACUGAUCUAAUUUCCUUUCUCACUUGAAUUCCUGUCCUGGAGACCUGCCAAACAACAACUCUCAUGAAUGAAACGAGUCAUGCCUUUGAGAUUCCUGUGGAACAUCAAACUGGCACAACACAGUAAUUACAGCUUAGCUAUUUCUGAUGCUGUUAUUAAAAAUGACUUGAACUUUAGAAAGAAGGACUACUGCAAUUAAACUCUACGAUUUGUCAAGUUCUAGGCAAUUUUCUCUUUAUCUCUUCAUCUACCUGCUGUUGGAUAUUUACAGAUACUACCAGGAGUCCCAGUUCUGAUGGUGUACUUUUUCAGAUUUCUUUUUGAAAUUCUCUUAAUGGGUACCAGUCACAGAGACGGUCAGAGUUGUCAGAUCCCAGAAAAGCUGAUGGCUGUGUAUGUGCCAGGUCCCCACGGCAGGUUCUCACUGUGUAAUUCACAUUUUCAGGCCAGUUAUAGAACAUACUGAAGGCCUGUACUAGUUCCUUGGAUAUAGGUUUGAAAACAUGUUUAGCUAAUCACAAACACUCCUGUACAUGCUUGUUUCCACAAAAUAUACACAAUUUCCUAGUGCAGAAAUGAAAUCUACUCCAACAUAAAUUUUGCAUUAUUAUCUGUUUUUUUAGCAGUAAAUGAGGACAUAAGAAACUUCCUUAAGCAGAAAAUAUGCCACAUUCUAUCCUUUUGAAAUGGUGUUUUCAAACUGUGUCAAAAUGAUCAAGAACUGGAUUCUUCCUUAAACAUAAUAGGAAGGCCUUAUUGUAUUAGCAGAUUACAGUCAUUGUGUUAGUAUACUAUCUACCUUGUAUUCAUUUUUGCUAACAUAAUGAGAAAUUUUUCUAGCAUGGUUAUAAUUUAAUGCAAUAAAAUAGUGUUGGAAAGGAAAAUUAGUGUGAUUUUAAAGAGAGAUGUAAAGACAAUAAAGUAGCCUCUGAGUUUUCUUUCCUAAACUUUUAAUUUGUUGCUAACCUAAAAUACACUUUUUAUCAAUCCUUUGAAAUAAUUAUAGUCAAAUUAACAUUAAAAGGUUUACAGAUGGUUUUUUCCACAUACUCUGCUGUAUAAGAUCUCAGCAAGUCUGCCCAGAUGUUUUUAAAUUUUCUUAUUUUAGAGAAGUACAUAACUCUUUAAUCAAGCCCUGAGCUUUAAUGUGAAUAUUUUCGUGGCACCAUUUACAAUGUCCUUGCUUCUCUGAGGUUUGCAUUUUGAUGAAAAUUCUGACCAUAGAAUCAGAAAGAAAUGUCUGUGGUUUUAAGCAUAAGCAACCAAUGAACAAGUUGCUUUGUCUACUCUGUAAAAAAGGCAUUUCUAAAGCACUAACACACAGUGAGUACUCAGGGAGGAAGUAAGACCUGUUCAAAAUAUCAGAUUGAAUCUUGGAAGAUCUGUACUCCAUUCCCAUUCUUGCCACAGACUUCCUGUGAAGAAUGAAGGAGGUAUUUUCAACUUUAAUCUCACGGGUGGAAGAGUUUUCAUCACCCUUGUUUGUUGUGAGCAUAAACUCGGAAGGUUUUGAGCCCAUUUGGACUCCAGGGCAUCAACAGACACUGGCCAGGGCUGCACUGAUUUUCAGAGGGUCAAGCUAAGGAACAAAUAACAAUUGCACAAAUUAAUGUGGCAGUGUAGGUCUGACAAAAAUGUCUAAGCACUUCAAGGUGCUGAUGAUGUGGGUUCUCUAGAGUAAGUUUUUUGUGGAAGGCAGAAGCACAAGCGAGCUGUUGUAGAUGUACCCAAAGCAACCUUAACCUGACUCAACUGGAUCCCAGCAAGGGUAGGCUGUGUGAAAGUGAGUGAGGCUGUGAAGUUCACUUCUCACUGGCCACAGCAUUUACUCAUCCCUUUGGGGUUCCUUUGGGGCGUGGGGACUGUUGUGGUUUCUGACCUGACCCCUCUGCUGCUGUAUGUGUUGUUUUGAGUGCAGGAUAUGGUUUAUGGAACCUGAAGUCAUGUAAUUCACUACGAUGUGAGGUUUUUCACCUAGUACUGGACAAAUUUCAUUGAUCCAAAUAUAUCAAUCCCAAAUAUCUUUAUGCUGGAUUGGGAUCAUGGAUGCAUUUCUCUGGAACAAAAGAGAAACACCCUUCUGCCAUUCACCAAGUGGAUUUGCUAUAAAGGCUCACAGGUAGCAGUCCUGAGAGGGAAGAAGACACACACCUGAGACUUGCUCAGUAUGGAGCUGCUGUGUAGAUGUUCCCUCAACACAAUGGUCACCGCUCCAAGGAGCCUCCCUGCUCUUCAGCCUGGUCCAGGGCCUGCCAAAAGUGUGGGCUGGUUGUGUUGACAGGCUGUGAUAUAAACAGCCCUUGAGGCACAGGAGCUGCAGAGAUAAUGAAGUGCCUUGAGGAAAAAGUCUUAACUAUCAAGGGAUGGAUCCACUCCCCCCUGCCACAAACCAGGGGUCACGUGGCUGAGGAAUGUGUAUCCACAGAUAGUGCUACCUUCAGAGAACUCUACUUACAGGGCUAGGUUCUUCAUGGCCAGAGCUAUUUCACCUUCAACAGAAGAACACAGGAAAGUUUUCAAUGUCAAGACAAGGAGUCUGUAAAACAAAGGAUUACCAAUGCUUUAGGUAGCAUGAAGGUCUUUUAAAGCUAACUUUGUAGUGGUAAAUAUUAUAGAUCUUCAUAUUGGAAAACUUAAUACUUUGAAUUCUUCAACUUCUUUAGAGUGUGAAUAAGAACACAAAAAGUUAUAUAGGAGCAAACUCAAGUUACCCAAAUAAGGGCACCAUGAAAAUACAACUCAAUGCAGACAAGGGCAAAUAAAGUAGUCGUGUUUCUGAGUAUGUGUGGUGAAUAAAUAAGGCUUUUUCAUGUCUGGAAGUCAGUAAGAAUAAUAACUUUCUGUGCUUUGGAAAUAGAAGCUUAUGUUUUCUAAACUAUUCUGGUACUUGCAAUUUCAGGUGCUUGCCUUGAGACAUCUUAGAAAGUAAACCCAGACUUGCAGAAUACUUUUUUUAAACGGAACCUUGUCAGGUGAUCUAAAUUUGUCCUAUGGUAACUCCAAAUGGUUUAAGAUUGAAAAAAAAAACCCCAAAAAAACCCACAUUAUUGAGCUUUUGGAGCUUAUAUAUAUUUUGCCACUUCAAAAACUUCCAUUGUUUGUCUUCCAGUCAGACAUCAAUCAUUCAGUAACCAAUGCUUUUAUAGUUUCUGAUCUUGAUGGCCAGUUUCAACUAAGAGAGGAGAUUCACAAGCUCUCUGAAGGCUUGCUGAAGGCAGUCAGUUAGAGACUGAAAUUAAUGCUACCACUGAAUCAGUGUGAAAGGUUGAUUUCUAGCAUAUUUUGUGUUUA